CAUUACCGGGGUCUAUAAUGCAGUCGUACGCUUCUUUUUCCACCGGAGCUUGCUCCACCGGAAAAAGAAGAGUGGCGAACGGGUGAGUAACACGUGGGUAACCUGCCCAUCAGAAGGGGAUAACACUUGGAAACAGGUGCUAAUACCGUAUAACAAUCGAAACCGCAUGGUUUUGAUUUGAAAGGCGCUUUCGGGUGUCGCUGAUGGAUGGACCCGCGGUGCAUUAGCUAGUUGGUGAGGUAACGGCUCACCAAGGCCACGAUGCAUAGCCGACCUGAGAGGGUGAUCGGCCACAUUGGGACUGAGACACGGCCCAAACUCCUACGGGAGGCAGCAGUAGGGAAUCUUCGGUAAUGGACGAAAGUCUGACCGAGCAACGCCGCGUGAGUGAAGAAGGUUUUCGGAUCGUAAAACUCUGUUGUUAGAGAAGAACAAG
RNAcentral lists this ribosomal RNA (436 nucleotides) under Enterococcus lactis. RNAcentral describes it as "bacterial SSU rRNA". It matches the Rfam family "Bacterial small subunit ribosomal RNA", at positions 37 to 453 of the family's 1533-position model. The record is from RNAcentral. Lineage: Bacteria; Bacillati; Bacillota; Bacilli; Lactobacillales; Enterococcaceae.